CCUGUAUCCUUGCCGAACACAGAAGUGAAACGCCGUAGCGCCGAUGGUAGUGUGGCAGAUGCCAUGUGAGAGUAGGACACUGCCAGGC
RNAcentral lists this ribosomal RNA (88 nucleotides) under Aeromonas sp. RU39B. Lineage: Bacteria; Pseudomonadati; Pseudomonadota; Gammaproteobacteria; Aeromonadales; Aeromonadaceae. The record is from RNAcentral.